ACCUUUUGAUCAUUGCCUGUUCACAAGGACAAAGAAAGACAGAUUCUUAACAUUACUUGUCUAUGUUGAUGACAUCCUUAUAGCAGGUCAUUCAGAAGAGGAUAUAGCAGAAAUUAAAUCUCACCUUGACAAAGCCUUUACAAUCAAGGAUUUGGGGACGUCAAGUAUUUUCUAGGCUUGCAAAUUGCGCGUUCUGAAAUUGGAUUAUUUCUUCAUCAAAAGAAAUAUUUGUUAGAUAUUCUUCAAGAAACAGGUUGUAUGCAAGCUAAACUAUCUGACAAUCCUCUACCACAAGGAAUCAAACUUGACAAUACAACAGGAACUAUUUUGACCGACCCAGAAAAAUAUAGGAGGUUAAUAGGUAAGUUACUUUACCUCGGAGUCACAAGGCCAGACAUCUCCUAUGCGACACAGCACCUCAGCCAGUUCAUGCAACAGCCGCGUCAACCUCACUGGAACGCAGCACUUCACGUGCUUCGCUAUCUGAAAAGUUGUCCAACACGAGGGUUGUUCUUCCCAGCUCAGAGCGACCUCAAGAUUCAAGCUUUCUCUGACGCUGACUGGGCUUCCUGUCUGAUGACCCGGAAAUCUCUUACAGGCUUUUGUAUAUUCCUCGGACCAUCCUUAAUAUCCUGGAAAACAAAAAAACAGAACACGGUUAGUAAAUCCUCAGCAGAAGCUGAGUACAGAAGCAUGGCCCUCACGGUGUGCGAGCUAAAGUGGAUAACUUACCUGAUGAAAGAGUUUCAUGCCGAUCUGCAUCUCCCUAUUCCUCUUCACUGUGACAACCAAGCAGCCCAACACAUCGCGGCCAACCCAGUUUUCCACGAACGAACGAAACAUCUGGAUAUCGACUGCCACAUCGUCCGCGAGCAACUCUCCAGAGGUUUCAUAUCUACGGUGCACGUACCUUCACGGCAACAAAUCGCGGAUCUCUUCACAAAACCCUUAGGAGCGGCGCAAUUUCAAACCCUUCUGUCCAAGAUGGGUUUCCCCAAAAUUAGGGCAACUCCAUCUUGAGGGGGGCGUGAAGAGAUAUUAUAUACUCCCAAAGCUAAACGACGUCGCAGGAGGGAAGCAAAAACAAGUCAGUGCACCGCCAAAACGAUGCCGCAGAGGAGAAGCAAAACGACGCAGCAUUUAUAGAUUCAAAACAGCACCGUUUCCUGUGGAUGUAAUUUUGUUCCAAGGGAACCCAGAAUAUUCUAGAAAAAUUCAGAGAAGGAGUUAGUUAGAAUUCAGUUUUCCAAAUGUGUAUAUAUAUGCAUGAGAAUUAACAAAUCAAAUAUGUGAAAAUACUCUAUUUUUCAAUCCAAUUUU
RNAcentral lists this long non-coding RNA (1320 nucleotides) under Manihot esculenta (cassava). RNAcentral describes it as "long non-coding RNA (MESC_LNC011466)". Lineage: Eukaryota; Viridiplantae; Streptophyta; Magnoliopsida; Malpighiales; Euphorbiaceae. The record is from RNAcentral.